RNAcentral lists this ribosomal RNA (701 nucleotides) under Microbacterium sp. Z4_102_1. Its description in RNAcentral is "bacterial SSU rRNA". It matches the Rfam family "Bacterial small subunit ribosomal RNA", at positions 77 to 791 of the family's 1533-position model. The record is from RNAcentral. Lineage: Bacteria; Bacillati; Actinomycetota; Actinomycetes; Micrococcales; Microbacteriaceae.
AGCUUGCUCUGUGGGAUCAGUGGCGAACGGGUGAGUAACACGUGAGCAACCUGCCCCUGACUCUGGGAUAAGCGCUGGAAACGGCGUCUAAUACUGGAUAUGUGACGUGACCGCAUGGUCUGCGUCUGGAAAGAAUUUCGGUUGGGGAUGGGCUCGCGGCCUAUCAGCUUGUUGGUGAGGUAAUGGCUCACCAAGGCGUCGACGGGUAGCCGGCCUGAGAGGGUGACCGGCCACACUGGGACUGAGACACGGCCCAGACUCCUACGGGAGGCAGCAGUGGGGAAUAUUGCACAAUGGGCGCAAGCCUGAUGCAGCAACGCCGCGUGAGGGACGACGGCCUUCGGGUUGUAAACCUCUUUUAGCAGGGAAGAAGCGAAAGUGACGGUACCUGCAGAAAAAGCGCCGGCUAACUACGUGCCAGCAGCCGCGGUAAUACGUAGGGCGCAAGCGUUAUCCGGAAUUAUUGGGCGUAAAGAGCUCGUAGGCGGUUUGUCGCGUCUGCUGUGAAAUCCGGAGGCUCAACCUCCGGCCUGCAGUGGGUACGGGCAGACUAGAGUGCGGUAGGGGAGAUUGGAAUUCCUGGUGUAGCGGUGGAAUGCGCAGAUAUCAGGAGGAACACCGAUGGCGAAGGCAGAUCUCUGGGCCGUAACUGACGCUGAGGAGCGAAAGGGUGGGGAGCAAACAGGCUUAGAUACCCUGGU